Taeniopygia guttata (zebra finch) is the source of this 6611-nucleotide non-coding RNA. Lineage: Eukaryota; Metazoa; Chordata; Aves; Passeriformes; Estrildidae. The record is from RefSeq and is a predicted model, not a curated record.
UUGUUACUUAUUUUCUUAACAUUAUUUUUUGUGUUUUGCCCAUUCUGAAAGGCACAGGCAGGCAAACAGAAAACUGCCUUUCCUCUUCAGUUAUUUUGCAUGAAAGGAACAGCACACUCCCCUGUGCCUUUCCAGUACAGCACAGAUACUUGUGAGCUUGUAAAGCACAGCAAGAGCUUGCUCCAAGAGGAUAAUUUCAGGCAACUCAUUCACAGUUGUGAUUUUUUUCUGUACAAAAGCCGAUCCAUUCUCUGCCAGUGAUGCCCUGUUCCCUGCUAGGAGGCAGCUGCGGGCUUGCUCUUUGCCCAGUGGUCAUGGAGAGGGUGAGCCUGUGCAGGAGCAGCCUGGUUGGAGCCUGGGGCAGACACACACUGCUCUGGGCAGUGGGGAGGGCUGGAGCUGCCAUCCUCUCCAGCAGGGCUGAACCCUUUCCUCAGGAAGCAAAGCUGCUGUUUCGCCCCAGCUGCUGGAGCCUGGGUGACCAAGGCUGGUCCCACUGCAGUGUCAUGCAGGCUGAGGAAACACUGUGCAUCAUGGGGCCUCAAGGCAAGUAUUCAAGCAAUGGUUAAAAUGGCUGGACAGCUUGCCCACUAGAAAACAGGGUUGUUUUUUUUUUUUUCCAUAGUCACUUCCCAGUCUUGGAUAUACAGUCUCUAGUUACCGGAGGGAUUCAGAGCUGGAACAGGCAGCCUCUUAAGUAUUAGGCUGCCCCUGUGUACUUGGCACCAAAUUCAGACAAUUUGGAGAACAUUUCAGAUUUCUGGAGGGUGUUUUUUUUUUUGUUUUGAUUUUUGUUUGUUUUUGUUUUGUUUUGAAUUUUUUUCUAAUUUUUAUUCCUUUCCAUAAGAAAACAGUUCUAUUUUUAGGACUUGGCCUAAAUUGUUGAGCCCAGUGGUUUUACUGUUGUUGUUUUUCCUCUCUUCAAUCAAACUGAAGUGGUUCUGGCUGAUCUGACUAGCAAAUCUGCCGUGUCUCUUAAAGUUACACUCGAGGAGAUUUUUUGAUUGCAUGGGUGUGUAUGUUUGCAUGGAAAGUUUCUCUCAAUUUCCUGGAAUAAAAGGAGUCUUGGCUUCUCCCAAAUCUAUACUCUAUGCUUGUAAAUGUCUCUGUUAAGACUGGUUUUGUGGAACAUUGUGAAGGAUGCUGUGCUAAAACAUGAUAUGUUGCUAAAUUGAAUUUUAUAUUUGAAGUUUUUCUCCCCAGUCACUUCUGUUCUUUCUAGCUGCAGCUGUUUCAAUGUAUAAUGUUUGUCUUCAACCUGCAGAGAUACCAGAAUAUCCCAUUUUUAUCACCUGUGGAAAAUCAGACAUCAUAACAAACUGAUGGCCAUAGCAGUGACUGGAGCAGUGAUAAGUAUCCCUAUCACCUCUCUCUUUGACUACAGUACAUAUGUAGACCCUGCUCACCCAAGUUACCUUUUGGAUGAAAGGGAAUAUUGCUUCCUCUGCAUGGUGCUAUGCUUGUACUAAUCAGAUUUUCCCUCUGUGCUAGUUGCAGGGCAGGGCCCAGGGGAUUAAAGGUAAAAUGAAAAGCUACCCCUUUUCUUCCUUUGUUCAUAGUGUUUAAGUUGCCAUUUUCACUCACUUUGUCUGAGAACAUCUGUCCUUCUGUUGCACAGGAUGUCUGAGCAGGCAGGAGGCACAUGCCAGUUACUGGCUGGUUUGGGAGCUUUCCAAAGGAAUAGGAUUUCUCCCAGUUUUGGAGGACCAGAGGUAGCAGUAGCAGUCAGCCACUUCCCAUGGAACUACAGAUGUCAACUAGGCAGCUGUAGACUGUCCUGAGGUCAUUUUUCCAAAGAGUGGCUGGACAACUGUGCUUCAUGUUAUACAUUGGGCAGUUUUCCUACAGACUGAGACUGACUUGAAGAGGGGAAAGCACCUUCCAAAAACUCUGAGUACAACACAUGGUGCUUUGAGGGUGGAGUUAAAAAUCUGUGCCUGUCCUCAGGGUUUCCCUGUUUGCUGCUGGAGAGAUCUCUGCUCAGAGUCAUUCUCAGCAGUUCACAGAGUACAUUUCCUGUAGCCAUCUCCAGCAUCACCAGGUUGGAUGCUGCUUUUCCAAACAUAUUCCUGCAUCCCACCUUUGGAUCACUUUCUGGAUGUAGACUUUUGCUUUUACUAAAAAUGAGUAUAGACUUCAGAUACUGCAAAACUUAAAAGCAUUCAAAAGAUCCCAGGCUUUUUUUAAAAAAGAUUUGAAGAUUAUCAUCAAAACAAUAAUAGAUUACCAAACCAUUUUAAAAAGUUUCCAAAUGUAAGUGUAGCUCCAGGUCUUAAAUCCAAUGGGGGAAAGAAAAAGCAUUUAUAUGAAGUUUAGCAUUUCCUGGGUCUGAAAUACCUUUAUUCUUUCUGCCUCUGGCCCUGGCUUCUAGAUGUGUGAGGCUCAAAACUAGCCAUACUAACCCUUGAUUUCCAUUUUGUGUUUCUUAGGCAGUUAUGACAUUUUUUUCCUUAUAUCAUAUUAAAAUUAAUGAACAUUCAAGCACCAUUUAUUCUGUUGUACUUACUUUUUCACUUUUUUGCCAGCACUCUAAUAAUGCAAUGUUAACGUAGUAAAGAGACUUAAAUCAUUAUAUGGAAAAAAGAACAUUUUUCAAAGGAGGAGAGGCAUUUGCUUCAGUUUCCUAGGCAAAUUCUCACACAAGUAAUUACAUUCUUCCUACUGCAUUCCUCUGCCACUUCAAUUGGAUAUGGUGUUCCUCCUUAGUUUGUUCCCUAUACUUUUGCAUAGCAUUAUCAAUUACUGUUAAGUAUUUGCUGUCCACCAUCCCAGCAGUGACUUCAUAUAUAAAGGCAGUGAUUGAAGUAAGCCACCAGACAAAUAAAAUUAGGAGCAUCUUCUUGUGGAAUUUACAACCCAAAAUACUCAUUAAUCCAAAUCUGCCAGAUGAAAGCAUUUUUAACCAUGACUAGGAAGUACAAUAACUUAUGACAUUAAUUGGCAACAUAAUUAGCUGUGGUUGCUUUGAAAUGAGGAAUAUUUGAUGGCGACUUUGGUACGGCAAUAUAAGAGGUUCACUGCAGGCCAUGUGUACUGGUACCUUCAAAUUGUGACCACUGUUUUACAACAGAAGUUACAUUGGUGGGUGAAUUUGAGCAUGUUUUCUGUAAGCAGAGGAAGAGAAUGAUCAGCAUUAUGAACCCACAGGAAAAAAAUGGAGAAGGAGAGACGAGCGUUCCUCUCUUGGUAUGCUCACAGUAGGUAUGAGUUCAGGUGUGAAUUGAAACAGCCUGAGACAUGUUCACUAUAUAAUUCCGGGGAACUUUCCACUAUUCCUUCAUAAUCAAAGCAUUUCAGAGCUCCCUGAGAGAAGUAAGUCUUUUUUCCUUUCACAUUUCAGCACAUUUAUUCAGUAAUGGCACAACUGGGACCUGUGGAGCUAGUAUUAGAAUACUAAUUUUAGCUUUUCUUUGAUUCCCCCAUGUUAGAGAAAAAAUACCCCAUAAUUUGCAUGGUCCUUUUCCUUGCAGCUCUUGGCCUUUAACAUAUUCAGUGUAGUAAACCAAAGCCACUGCUACUUGCUUCCCCUGAAAUUAUACCAGUUUAUUUGAUUUCACCCUGGACAUACUCUGUAUGUAAAUGGGAGGGAUACCAGAGAUGUACAGGGAGGGAUACCAGACCCAGUGAUCACACAGAUCUUCUUGGUUGAGGCUGGGGCUGCACUGCAUUCCAGGCCCACCUGCUGGCUGGCUGCACAGGGCUGCAUCAGGGUGGACUUGGGGAAAGCCACCCUCCAUAACCCGAAGUGACAAAACUUAGUGACCAAGCCACACCAAAGCCUUUGAGAAGGAGGAGAGAUUUUGUGGGAAGACAGGGAAAGCGAGGGAAUGCAAGAAUAAUUUCUUCUGGGAGCUGUCAUUAUGGAGGAACUGCUGAAUAUGUCAAGAAUUUGCAGCUCAGAUGCAGGAAAUUCAGCUGAACAAAUUUAAAUGUGAUCUGACAUGGCUACUGGAAAACUAAAAUAAUGAAGUAACUGAUCUUAUUCUGUGUUUCCUAUAGGGGAAUUUUCUUUUGAUAGCUCUGAAAUACAGUGAUGUGUUGUCAUUUGGUUGAGCAGUAAUAGCACAAAUGGGAAACGGUGAAAAGCUCUCACUGAGGAGACGCCAGAACGUAUGUUACCUCAAUACAGUAAGAACUUCAGAAACUAACCCAAGCAACAGUUUUUGAACACAGAACAGCAUAUUUUUGUGAAGGUGAUGUGCGCUGAAGGCUUAGCCCUCCUUCCUUCCCAUAUCCCAUAUCCUUGGAGAGUGAAGAAGAAGAACAGUUUCUUGAGCCAGCAUGAGGAUUUGCUUCAGAGACACUGUAGGAAGGAAUGUGCCAUUCUGGCAGAAAUGAGGAACAAUUAUUCUUUCUGUUGUUGAACCUUCUCUUCAGCAAAAGACAUAGACCAGGGAGAUGAACAAUCUUGAACUUUAUGUGCAUCCAGCACAUAUGCCACCAUCUGGGAUAUGCCACCAACUAUAGGAAGAAACCUAUGUUAAAACAGAAAAUAUGCUACAAAUGUGAUGGUCUUUUUCAAGAUUUUCUGCUUCCCAGAGAAUUGACAAUCCUGCUUCACCACCAGCUGGAAGUGUGGAAGGCAGUCUGGCCAAGAAUAUUGGCAGAAAUGUGAAAUCUCUUCAGUCCUCUGCGUGGCCUUCUAGCAACCUGUGCGGAGGCUGUGUGGUGUCUGCAGGGUUUGAUACCAAACUUGAGAAAUCUGAAGAAGAUUCAGACUGUGGAUUUUAAGAAGUGGUCUGGGGAAGGAAGAGUGAUUAACCUGAAGUGGGAAAACACGAAAGCUGUUAUUUGUGAUGCAGGUGGGUUGGCCUUGGAGAAAAGAACAAGAACUGUUAGCCUCCUGCAAAAAGAAGGAAAUCCAGUAGACAGAAGACCACCUUACACUCGGUGAGAGAGAGUAGAAGUGGCCCACAAUCAUCAGCCAAUCAGUCAAACACAACUCUCCUGGGCAGAGUACGGGAGAAUGCACACCCUGCAGUUUUUUCAGCAUGUUGGAAGCUUUUCAUCUUAAAGUAGGUUUCGCCAACUGGUCUGAGACAGAGCUCUGUGAAACAGCAUGGCAAAAGAACAAGGCUGCGUGCCAUUCAACUUUAAUAAGUCAUGGGAGAAGAUAUUGUUUAGCCUUGCAGAAUUUAUACUCUCAGAUUUAUAACUAAUGGGCAGUUCUUGAGACUGGAGGAGGUGAUCCUGGAAAGCCUGUACAUAGCAUCAACACAGUCGAAGAAAACCAGUGAGAAGCACCAUGGAGAAGAAAGAAGCCAAUGAGCACAGAGCAACAGGCAGCAGCUGUUAUGGGCACAAUCCAACUUCAAGGACCACCCACGGCUUCACUGCAGGAAUUCAGGUGGACUGAAUUGACUAAAUUGAGCCUGAGGAAGGAGAGGAAAAGAUGUUUACUUGAGUGUUUAAUUGUUUAUAUUAUCUCUUUUCUGAUACCUGGAUCAGUGAUCAAAAAUUUCUGUUAAUUGGUAAUUUAUUAAAUUAAGGAAAAGUUGACCAGUUUUUGCCUUUGAUGCUGGCAAGUGCAAUAAACAAACCUUCAUUUCAUGGACACCCUUUAGCAUAUUCUGCUUUGAUAAAGUGGAGAUGCAUAAAAAUCUUUGGAAACUACAGGUAAAUUCAGAUUAAGACUCUUUAUCUUGUCUGAGUACUCUGAAGAGGGGAACAUAUACAAAACUAAAGGAACCUUUGACUACAUCAAUACUAGGCUGACCCAAAGAUAAUUAAUGCAACCAGUUGAUAUGCUGGUUUGAAUUUACUCCUGUACUUCUGUAAUUUCUCAGCUUCCAAACUACAUCUGGUUUAUAUCUGUUUUGGAGCUGUGGAACAGACACACAAAAGGCUGCACCCAUCUCUAGCUAUUUCCUAUUUGUAUGUUAAAAAAAUACAAAUUCUGAAAUUGAAUAAACAACAACAAAACCAAGAAACAACGUGAGUAUUUUUCUAAUAAUGUUUCAAAAACUUAUUUUAUGAGAUUCAUGACAAGCUUAAGAACUCAAAAGGGCACAGUUGGUCAGAGGACCCUCUACUACAUGGCCAAGAAGAGACGCAUGUGAAGACAUCCCAAUACACUAAAGAGUAUUCUGUCAGAUCCUUACUAACAAAGGACAGGUAACAUGUCCCUGUCAGCAUGUUGUACUGUCAGAGAGUAUUAAUUCUGUGCUUAGCAUCCUAAACAUAUGGAAUUGUUUAGGAUGGUAGGAAUUGGAGUGGCAACACCUUCUAGGGGUAGGCUAAACUUUUUUCUCCUAUUGGAGCAAGAUCCAAUAGGGCGGCCCAGGAACACUCCUGUUUCCUUUUGGCUGGUUCUCUUGCCUUUUUGGCUUUUUUCUCCCUAGGUGAGAGGGUGGAUGAGAACUUGCUGAGUUGGCUUUGAAAAUGUAAAAUGUGAAGAAAGGGAAAUUAGACCCUGGCUGUGGUUUAAAUUGAAAUGGAGAUAAAUGUCCAGCACUUUCAAGUGUAAUGGGUGUGUACACAUUUUGGGAGCAGUUCUGAAAGUUUGAUGUAAGUCAGUCUGCUUGUGUAAUUCUACCAUACCUUGUCCAGAUUCCUGUCUGCAGCUAUGUUUAUUUUAGAAAAUGUCUCUUCUAGUAUUAAAACAAAAAUCA